UCUUCCGUAGUAUAGUGGUCAGUAUGUGAGCUUGUCAACGGACUCCACCAGGUCUAUGACUUCGCUCGAGACCCGGGUUCAAUUCCCGGCGGGAGAG
Molecule: non-coding RNA, 97 nt
Organism: Achaetomium macrosporum
Lineage: Eukaryota; Fungi; Ascomycota; Sordariomycetes; Sordariales; Chaetomiaceae
Source: the annotation of a GenBank genome assembly